RNAcentral lists this ribosomal RNA (739 nucleotides) under uncultured soil bacterium. RNAcentral's name for it is "bacterial SSU rRNA". It matches the Rfam family "Bacterial small subunit ribosomal RNA", at positions 31 to 767 of the family's 1533-position model. The record is from RNAcentral.
GAACGCUGGCGGCAGGCCUUACACAUGCAAGUCGAACGGCAGCGCGGGGCAACCUGGCGGCGAGUGGCGAACGGGUGGGUAAUAUAUCGGAACGUACCCUAGAGUGGGGGAUAACGUAGCGAAAGUUACGCUAAUACCGCAUACGAUCUAAGGAUGAAAGUGGGGGAUCGCAAGACCUCAUGCUCCUGGAGCGGCCGAUAUCUGAUUAGCUAGUUGGUGGGGUAAAGGCCUACCAAGGCAUCGAUCAGUAGCUGGUCUGAGAGGACGACCAGCCACACUGGAACUGAGACACGGUCCAGACUCCUACGGGAGGCAGCAGUGGGGAAUUUUGGACAAUGGGCGAAAGCCUGAUCCAGCAAUGCCGCGUGAGUGAAGAAGGCCUUCGGGUUGUAAAGCUCUUUUGUCAGGGAAGAAACGGCCUGUUCUAAUACAGUGGGCUAAUGACGGUACCUGAAGAAUAAGCACCGGCUAACUACGUGCCAGCAGCCGCGGUAAUACGUAGGGUGCAAGCGUUAAUCGGAAUUACUGGGCGUAAAGCGUGCGCAGGCGGUUAUGUAAGACAGAUGUGAAAUGCCCGGGCUUAACCUGGGAACUGCAUUUGUGACUGCAUGGCUAGAAUCUGGCAGAGGGGGGUAGAAUUCCACGUGUAGCAGUGAAAUGCGUAGAGAUGUGGAGGAACACCGAUGGCGAAGGCAGCCCCCUGGGUCAAGAUUGACGCUCAUGCACGAAAGCGUGGGGA